This 2123-nucleotide long non-coding RNA is filed under the name Heterocephalus glaber (naked mole-rat). RNAcentral describes it as "lncRNA (ENSHGLG00100041209.1)". Lineage: Eukaryota; Metazoa; Chordata; Mammalia; Rodentia; Bathyergidae. The record is from RNAcentral.
AUAAAAGAUAAUAGUAAGGAAAUAGAGCUAUUUCCCAUUAGGUUCUAGUCAUUUCUUCUGACUUAAUGCCACCAGAUUAUUUUGUUGCCAGAAUUUACUAAAUUUGAAUAAAGAUGAACAGUAUUCAUUUUGGAUGCAUCCGUAAGUAUACCAGUACUGUAUUCUAGAAACUGCAUAAAAAUGAAUUAUUUCUGCAGCUUCCUGGCCUUCUCCAGUAUUUUGUUGGUUUUAUUCACAUUUGCUUUUCCUUUUUCAAACUUGGAGGCACAAUUUCAAUCAUUGAAAAAUCAAUGCAUAUUUUGUUUCAAGAUACUUGAAACAAAAAGCACAGCUGCUAAACUUCUGUUAAACCGUAUAUGAAUGUGUAAAGCACAUGUAUUAAUGCACCUAUGUCCUUUCAGGUGGGAAUGGAGUAAACCAGUUGCUUUAUUGUUUUUAUUCAUCACAGAAAAUAUACUUAUUCCCAAGUCAUGUACCUGUGUAAAGCUUUAAGAGAAAUGUUUUCAGUAAUUUUCAUUUUCCCAAAGAAACUUAAUAUUUUGUGUAAUUGUGUGACCUGAUUGCUUUUCCUUGGAGCUUGGUUUCUUUUUUUAUGAGGCAAAUUUUCUGAAAUGAUGCAUAUUUUAACACUUGAUUCAUAUUGCCACUGUGCUGUCCUUGAACUGCCAAUGAUUUUAAUAAAAUAUCUAGUUUUUACUAUUUUUAUAUAUUUUACUUUACAGAAGAGCUGAGCCUGAUUCAAAUCAUUUUUCUAGUUUUGUACUUUUUAGUUGUUUUUUUCAUUUUAGAGAUUUUUUUAAUUUUUUGUUUUGUAGUAUAUUUAUAUGUCUGAUUAUAUCAGAUUAUAUAUAUACUUGCAUACACACACACAAACACAGCACACAGCCUUGGAGACAAUCAAAUAACAACCGAAAAUGUGAAGGUAUAUAACAAUUUUUGACAAAUUUCCCUUGAAUGUUUAUUCUUUGCUUGAAACAUUUAAGACUUCAGUCACUGUGGUUUAUUUUAUUUUUCCCCUGACAGUAGUUACAGAAAUAGAAUCAGAAGUGAUUGGCAAGCGUGACCACUAUAGGUUUCAUAGAGUUAUGCUGACUUGGCCUGUUACUUGAUUCUAGGAACCAGCACAGUUAAUGAUAUUGUUAUUUCUGAUUUAUCUUUUAUUAAACGCUGUAAACCUAAAUGGAUCCUGUUGUAAGUGCCAGGUCUAGUCCAGGUAUUUAAGUUCAUGUUUCACUAUUUGCACUUUGCAUUAAGCAGUGGAUUCAUUCGCUGAUAAAAGUGGUCCAAGCAGAGAAUUUAUGCAGAAUUAAAAGUCCAUUAUGUUUACCUUUCUCCCCUCACCCAGGGGCAAGAAGCAGAAUAUGAGCUCAUUUAAUAUGAAUAUGGCCUCAAAGCUUUAGAAAGUGAUAAAGCUGUGCUUCUUUGCCUUGGUUCUACAUUGUCAUCUGGAGAGGAGAAGGGCUAUUAGAAACACCGUGUCCAACGAGACGAAGAACCAAUACAUUAUGUGGAACAUUGAAAGCUUUUCGGUUAACCCCUACCAAGACAAAUGACCAGCCUCUGCCCAGGAAAAUAGUUAUUAGCUCUGCCUUUGGUUUUCAACUUGAAGUUGCUGAAUUGCAAACAAUCCAAGUAAGAGUUGGGUGGUUAUUGAAAUACUUUUAGGCCAACUCUUGUACCAAUUCUCAUUUAAUCCAACUUGUGACUGGUUUUCUUUUUGGUACUGGGAAAAGUGUAAACAGAACAUGUAUUGAAAUACAUAUUGAAAGUAAAAAUGUUUGGGUGUCAGUUGUAUUCUCCUAGAAUGUACUUUUCUUACCUCGGCAUGUACUGUAGUCACUCAGUAUUUGUAUAUGUUGCUAGAAUUUUACAUUGUAUAGUAAGAUUUUAUUGUGUUCAUGUUUUUUAAAAAUUGUGUAUAUGUGUCUUGCUCAGAUUAUUUGGCUUAAAUAAACCACCCUUGAAGUUUGUAGAUUUUUGUCAUAAAAUGCCAGGUUUCUCAAUAUUGCAACAUUUGAGAGUGCCACUGUUGGAUUCUUCUUUUGAUUUUAUUUCCAUGGUCAGCGCCAUCCUUUUUGGAGUCUGAUUUUAGCUCCUGUUUGAUAUUAAACAACUUUAGCAGC